This 82-nucleotide transfer RNA is filed under the name Olleya sp. YS. Its description in RNAcentral is "tRNA-Tyr". It matches the Rfam family "tRNA". From Rfam's summary of the family: Transfer RNA (tRNA) molecules are approximately 80 nucleotides in length. Their secondary structure includes four short double-helical elements and three loops (D, anti-codon, and T loops). Lineage: Bacteria; Pseudomonadati; Bacteroidota; Flavobacteriia; Flavobacteriales; Flavobacteriaceae. The record is from RNAcentral.
GGAAGCAUUGAGUAAUUGGUUGGCUCGCCUGACUGUAAAUCAGGUCUUUUAAAGCGUGUAGGUUCAAAUCCUACUGCUUCCA